This 474-nucleotide ribosomal RNA is filed under the name uncultured organism. RNAcentral's name for it is "partial 16S ribosomal RNA". It matches the Rfam family "Bacterial small subunit ribosomal RNA", at positions 332 to 797 of the family's 1533-position model. The record is from RNAcentral.
UACACUCCUACGGGAGGCAGCAGUGGGGAAUAUUGGACAAUGGGCGAAAGCCUGAUCCAGCAAUGCCGCGUGAGUGAAGAAGGCCUUCGGGUUGUAAAGCUCUUUUGUCAGGGAAGAAACGGUGAGAGCUAAUAUCUCUUGCUAAUGACGGUACCUGAAGAAUAAGCACCGGCUAACUACGUGCCAGCAGCCGCGGUAAUACGUAGGGUGCAAGCGUUAAUCGGAAUUACUGGGCGUAAAGCGUGCGCAGGCGGUUUUGUAAGUCUGAUGUGAAAUCCCCGGGCUCAACCUGGGAAUUGCAUUGGAGACUGCAAGGCUAGAAUCUGGCAGAGGGGGGUAGAAUUCCACGUGUAGCAGUGAAAUGCGUAGAUAUGUGGAGGAACACCGAUGGCGAAGGCAGCCCCCUGGGUAAAGAUUGACGCUCAUGUACGAAAGCGUGGGGAGCAAACAGGAUUAGAAACCCUUGUAGUCCCA